GGUAGUAGCAAAUAUUCAAAUGAGAGCUUUGAAGACCGAAGUGGAGAAAGGUUCCAUGUGAACAGCAGUUGGACAUGGGUUAGUCGAUCCUAAGAGAUAGGGAAAUUCCGUUUGCAAGCGCCCGAUCUUGGGCCGCCUAUCGAAAGGGAAUCGGGUUAAUAUUCCCGAACCGGGACGCGGAUAUUGCCGUUCGCGGCAGAUGCGGUAACGCAAACGAACCCGAAGACGCUGGCGGGGGCCCUGGGAAGAGUUCUCUUUUCUUUUUAACGAGCUUUCACCCUGAAAUCAGCUUGCCUGGAGAUAGGGUUUAAUGCUCGGUAAAGCACCACACUUCUUGUGGUGUCCGGUGCGCUCUCGACGGCCCUUGAAAAUUCGGGGAAGACAUUGAUUUUCGUGUCCGGUCGUACUCAUAACCGCAGCAGGUCUCCAAGGUGAGCAGCCUCUGGUU
Molecule: ribosomal RNA, 448 nt
Filed under: Nematostella vectensis (starlet sea anemone)
Lineage: Eukaryota; Metazoa; Cnidaria; Anthozoa; Actiniaria; Edwardsiidae
Description: Eukaryotic large subunit ribosomal RNA
Rfam family: Eukaryotic large subunit ribosomal RNA
Source: Rfam by way of RNAcentral